GAAGAAAGCAUAAACAGUACUUAGAUCCCAGUAGUGCUUAGUGUAUUUUCUACAUUGAUAUAUGUGCUUCCAUCAAAUCCUUUUCAAGUGUCUCCUUUUAUUCAUAAGGAGAAAGAAGAGUAGUUAUAAAGUUCAGUCCAAAAGGAUGCUUAAGAAACCUAGACAAGAGAUGCCAGGUCAAACUAGGGGAAGGCUGGCCUUAGUGUGUGUCUCUAGGCAGUGCUGCUCCCUUAUCUGUGGCAGCUUUAAACAUAGAGGACCCACCAGAGUCUAAGAAAAUGAGAAAGUUUAUCUUUGGUAUUUCUGAACCUCUUCCCAACCUCUUUCCCCUUGUUCCCUAAUGUACCCAGUAUCCUGCUAUUGUCUUUUCCCAAGAUACAUCUCCCUUUUAAUAACUAAAAGCUUGAUUGUGUAGUAGCAUUUCUUAAAAUGAGAUCAUCAGAGCAAACUUUAAUAUAAAGCUGUAAUGAACCAACUGCUGCUGCUGCUAAAUCACUUCAGUCGUGUCCGACUCAGUGCGACCCCAUAGACGGCAGCCCACCAGGCUCCCCCAUCCCUAGGAUUCUCUAAGCAAGAAUACUGGAGUGGGUUGCCAUUUCCUUCUCCAAUGAAUAAAAGUGAAAAGUCAAAGUGAAGUCACUCAGACAUGUCCGACUCUUACCGACCCCAUGGACUGCAGCCCACCAGGCUCCUCCAUCCCUGGGAUUUUCCAGGCAAGAGUACUGGAGUGGGGUGCCAUUGCCUUCUCCAAAUGAACCAAUUACAUGAGGACAACUUUAAAGUAUAGUUUUGUUAGCCAAAGGUGUAUUUUAUAUUUGGAUGGUAGAAUAUAUCCAGAAAUAGGGAAAGCCUACUAUUUAGUAAUUCAGUUAAAAUGUAAAUGUCAUCACAGGAUAUCUUGAUUUAUGUCUUUGAGUGUGCUUUCCUUGUACCCGGUUUUUGAAAUUUGAGAUCUGUUGUUGUCGGAUGUCAUCACGGGGACUUCCAGAGAUAAAUCCUAUUUCUCUUACUAUACUGCACACUCCUUAAAAACGUACUAUUCUAUUCCUGGUACAACAGUUUCUCACAAAAUACCUACCUUGCAUCUUUCAAGAGAAAAUAUUUGUUGGAAGAAAGUAAGGACAGGAUUCUUAUCAUUUUGAACUCAAAAGUCCCAGAUGGCCCAUAUUAUAACUCAGAUCUUAGACCUGCUCUUCCCACCAUCCUGCAAGGCCAUAUUAGCAAGUACCUGUUGGACAUCUAUAUCUUAAGCAUUUUAAGCUUUACAUGUCUAAAACUCAAUUUCCUUUCAUUCAGAUCUGCAUGUUUUCUUCUACAAUGGAGAAACACCAUUCUUGGCUCCAGAAUCUGCCUCCAAGUCUCAACAAGACCCUUUACAAUUGCCCUUGUGUCUUUUCCAUCUUCUUUGUCCUUCUGUUAUUGCAUCCACCCUAGCUCAAAUCCUUGUUACCUCUUCCCAGUGAUGGGUAUAACUUUUCUUCUAAUUCCAAUGCCUUCCCAUUUAAACACUGCCAGACCCACCUUGUUAAGCAUAGUUCCAAUUUAGUUUCAUUCCUGCUCUUUACAACCUUCACUGGCUUCUGAGUGGUUUGGCAUGAAUACUUCUGCUCAGGUAUCAUGUGGCAGCUAACCCCAACCCUCCCUUCCUCUGUUCACACCGUUUUGUCUUUUCUUAUCCUCCCCCCACCCCAUUUUUCUGCCUAUUUACCUAAGACUUCUCUAUAACAGUUGAUCCUAGCCUCUCCCCAUUCCUGCAGAUUAGAUCUAGUCUCUCCUUCCUCUAUGCUCCUGUAGCCUUUGGCUCCUACAGACUUUCUUAUGGUGCUUAUCACAUUCUAGCCUUGAGAACAGCAACUGUAUCUUGUUCGUUUGCGAUUCCUCCUCAGCACCCGGCAGAGUGCCUUGCAUUCACUGGACACUGUUGUGAAUUAAAUUCAAAUGAUCUCUUUUUUGAAUGCCUCCAAAACACAAAUAUUCUGGAGCCUAUGCCACUUCUAAUGUUUUUUUCUAAUGGAAAUUUUCUAGUUGGCUUUUUUUGUUAAGAUAAAUGUUCAGAAAGUCUCAAUAUAAAAUUCCCCCAUUUUUGAGGGGGUGGUUAGGACGAAUGGUGGCAACUUUGUUUUAUGAGUUCAUCAUAGCAUGUUAAGAACCAAUCUUGAAAUACUAUUUUUUCAAAUGACAUAAAUUUAUAGAAAC
This is a long non-coding RNA of Bos taurus (domestic cattle), 2196 nucleotides long. NCBI's taxonomy places the organism in Eukaryota, Metazoa, Chordata, Mammalia, Artiodactyla, Bovidae. The record is from Ensembl.